GGGCUUCUAACUCAGUGGUAGAGUGCUUGCUUAGCAUGGAUUCACAGAUAACAAUCUGCCUCCGCUUGCAUGAAGUCCAGGGUUCAAUUCCCUGG
This 95-nucleotide transfer RNA is filed under the name Tilletiaria anomala UBC 951. It matches the Rfam family "tRNA". From Rfam's summary of the family: Transfer RNA (tRNA) molecules are approximately 80 nucleotides in length. Their secondary structure includes four short double-helical elements and three loops (D, anti-codon, and T loops). The record is from Rfam by way of RNAcentral. Lineage: Eukaryota; Fungi; Basidiomycota; Exobasidiomycetes; Georgefischeriales; Tilletiariaceae.